CCCAGACUCCUACGGGAGGCAGCAGUGGGGAAUAUUGCACAAUGGGGGAAACCCUGAUGCAGCGACGCCGCGUGAGCGAAGAAGUAUUUCGGUAUGUAAAGCUCUAUCAGCAGGGAAGAAAAAAAUGACGGUACCUGAGUAAGAAGCACCGGCUAAAUACGUGCCAGCAGCCGCGGUAAUACGUAUGGUGCAAGCGUUAUCCGGAUUUACUGGGUGUAAAGGGAGCGUAGGCGGCGCGUUAAGUCUGAUGUGAAAACCCGAGGCUCAACCACGGGAGUGCAUUGGAAACUGGCGGGCUGGAGUGCCGGAGAGGUAAGCGGAAUUCCUAGUGUAGCGGUGAAAUGCGUAGAUAUUAGGAGGAACACCAGUGGCGAAGGCGGCUUACUGGACGGCAACUGACGCUGAGGCUCGAAAGCGUGGGGAGCAAACAGGAUUAGAUACCCUAGUA
Molecule: ribosomal RNA, 448 nt
Filed under: uncultured bacterium
Lineage: Bacteria
Description: partial 16S ribosomal RNA
Rfam family: Bacterial small subunit ribosomal RNA
Source: RNAcentral